ACGAACGCUGGCGGCGUGCUUAACACAUGCAAGUCGAGCGGUAAGGCCUCUUCGGGGGUACACGAGCGGCGAACGGGUGAGUAACACGUGAGUAAUCUGCCCUUCACUUCGGGAUAAGCUUCGGAAACGGGGUCUAAUACCGGAUACGACACUUUCAGGCAUCUGAUGAGUGUGGAAAGUUUUUUCGGUGGGGGAUGUGCUCGCGGCCUAUCAGCUUGUUGGUGGGGUAAUGGCCUACCAAGGCUUCGACGGGUAGCCGGCCUGAGAGGGUGACCGGCCACACUGGGACUGAGACACGGCCCAGACUCCUACGGGAGGCAGCAGUGGGGAAUAUUGGACAAUGGGCGGAAGCCUGAUCCAGCAACGCCGCGUGAGGGAUGACGGCCUUCGGGUUGUAAACCUCUUUCAGUACCGACGAAGCGAGAGUGACGGUAGGUACAGAAGAAGCACCGGCCAACUACGU
This 463-nucleotide ribosomal RNA is filed under the name uncultured bacterium. RNAcentral's name for it is "bacterial SSU rRNA". It matches the Rfam family "Bacterial small subunit ribosomal RNA", at positions 29 to 506 of the family's 1533-position model. The record is from RNAcentral.